This 729-nucleotide ribosomal RNA is filed under the name uncultured Vexilliferidae. Its description in RNAcentral is "partial Bacterial large subunit ribosomal RNA". It matches the Rfam family "Bacterial large subunit ribosomal RNA", at positions 849 to 1690 of the family's 2925-position model. Lineage: Eukaryota; Discosea; Flabellinia; Dactylopodida; Vexilliferidae. The record is from RNAcentral.
CUGGUUCUCCGCGAAAUCUAUUUAGGUAGAGCGUCAGACGAAUACCUUCGGGGGUAGAGCACUGAAUGGGCUAGGGGGCCUUACCGGCUUACCAAACCUAAUCAAACUCCGAAUACCGAAGAGUACUAUCUGGCAGACAGACUACGGGUGCUAAGGUCCGUGGUCGAGAGGGAAACAGCCCAGACCGCCAGUUAAGGUCCCAAAGUUGUGGCUAAGUGGGAAAGGAUGUAGGACGGCCAAGACAACCAGGACGUUGGCUUAGAAGCAGCCAUCGUUUAAAGAAAGCGUAACAGCUCACUGAUCAAGCGCCUCUGCGCGGAAAAUGUAUCGGGACUAAAGUUAUUCGCCGAAAUUGCGGACUCGAAAGAGUGGUAGCGGAGCGUUCCGUAAGCCUGUGAAGGUGAACCGUGAGGUUUGCUGGAGGUAUCGGAAGUGAGAAUGCUGACAUGAGUAGCGACAAACAGGGUGAGAGACCCUGUCGCCGAAAGACCAAGGGUUCCUGCGUAAAGCUAAUCUGCGCAGGGUUAGUCGGCCCCUAAGGCGAGGACGAAAGUCGUAGUCGAUGGGAAACAGGUUAAUAUUCCUGUACCUGGAGGUAGUGACGGAUGCCGGUAGUUGUUUACACUUAUUGGAUUGUGUAGGCCGCGUAGGUGUUCCAGGAAAUAGCUCCUCCAUUAAGACCGUACCCCAAACCGACACAGGUGGACAGGUAGAGAAUACCAAGGCGCU